RNAcentral lists this ribosomal RNA (460 nucleotides) under uncultured bacterium. RNAcentral's name for it is "partial 16S ribosomal RNA". It matches the Rfam family "Bacterial small subunit ribosomal RNA", at positions 338 to 795 of the family's 1533-position model. The record is from RNAcentral.
CCUACGGGAUGCAGCAGUGGGGAAUAUUGCACAAUGGGGGGAAGCCUGAACCAGCCAAGUAGCGUUCAGGAUGACGGCCCUACGGGUUGUAAACUGCUUUUAUACGGGAAUAACGCGCCUUACGUGUAGGGCUUUGCAUGUACCGUAUGAAUAAGGACCGGCUAAUUCCGUGCCAGCAGCCGCGGUAAUACGGAAGGUCCGGGCGUUAUCCGUCUUUAUUGGGUUUAAAGGGAGCGUAGGCCGCAUGUCAAGCGUGCUGUGAAAGGUCCGGGCUAAACCCGGGCCUUGCAGCGCGAACUGGCGUGCUUGAGUCCGCGGAAAGCAGGCGGAAUUCGUCGUGUAGCGGUGAAAUGCUUAGAUAUGACGAAGAACCCCGAUUGCGAAGGCAGCUUGCUGCAGCGGAACUGACGCUGAUGCUCGAAAGCGCGGGUAUCGAACAGGAUUAGAUACCCGAGUAGUC